This is a long non-coding RNA of Ornithodoros turicata, 102 nucleotides long. RefSeq lists it as uncharacterized. The transcript has 3 exons. Lineage: Eukaryota; Metazoa; Arthropoda; Arachnida; Ixodida; Argasidae. The record is from RefSeq and is a predicted model, not a curated record.
CUACGACUCAGAAUGACUGACGCGAGUUCCAUGAGUUCUUUGAGUGGAGUAGAGUCGGCGAGCGAGAUGUCGGAAAGCACGGUCGGAGCUGCAGGAGCAGGU